RNAcentral lists this non-coding RNA (45 nucleotides) under Schistosoma mansoni. The record is from RNAcentral. Lineage: Eukaryota; Metazoa; Platyhelminthes; Trematoda; Strigeidida; Schistosomatidae.
AUCCAGGUGACGAGUCCCAAAUAGGACGAAACGCUUGUCCUAGAU